RNAcentral lists this ribosomal RNA (481 nucleotides) under uncultured bacterium. RNAcentral's name for it is "partial 16S ribosomal RNA". It matches the Rfam family "Bacterial small subunit ribosomal RNA", at positions 28 to 523 of the family's 1533-position model. The record is from RNAcentral.
GACGAACGCUGGCGGCGUGCUUAACACAUGCAAGUCGAACGCUGAAGCCCUUCGGGGUGGAUGAGUGGCGAACGGGUGAGUAACACGUGGGUAAUCUGCCCUGCACUCUGGGAUAAGCCUUGGAAACGGGGUCUAAUACCGGAUAGGACACAUCGCCGCAUGGUGUGUGUGUGGAAAGUUCCGGCGGUGCAGGUUGAGCCCGCGGCCUAUCAGCUUGUUGGUGGGGUGAUGGCCUACCAAGGCGACGACGGGUAGCCGGCCUGAGAGGGUGACCGGCCGCACUGGGACGGAGACACGGCCCAGACUCCUACGGGAGGCAGCAGUGGGGAAUCUUGCGCAAUGGGCGAAAGCCUGACGCGGCAACGCCGCGUGGGGGAUGACGGCCUUCGGGUUGUAAACCUCUUUCGACCGGGACGAAGGAUUCGUUUGACGGUACCGGUAGAAGAAGCACCGGCUAACUACGUGCCAGCCGCCGCCGUAA